ACCCCAGGUCAGCGGGACUA
This 20-nucleotide ribosomal RNA is filed under the name Stewartia pseudocamellia x Stewartia ovata var. grandiflora. Its description in RNAcentral is "partial 26S ribosomal RNA". The record is from RNAcentral. Lineage: Eukaryota; Viridiplantae; Streptophyta; Magnoliopsida; Ericales; Theaceae.